GUGUUGUAUGCAAGGAGAGGUUUGCACCCCCCCAUUAAAAAGGCUGGACGAGGCCAUGGAGCCUAAAAUCUGAAUAAACUUAAGACAUUGCCACAUAUUUUGUGUUGCAUAACCACUAUCAUUG
Molecule: small nuclear RNA, 124 nt
Organism: Myodes glareolus (Bank vole)
Lineage: Eukaryota; Metazoa; Chordata; Mammalia; Rodentia; Cricetidae
Source: RefSeq, a predicted model, not a curated record